Molecule: ribosomal RNA, 483 nt
Filed under: uncultured bacterium
Lineage: Bacteria
Description: bacterial SSU rRNA
Rfam family: Bacterial small subunit ribosomal RNA
Source: RNAcentral
GACGAACGCUGGCGGCGUGCCUAACACAUGCAAGUCGAGCGAGAAUCUAUUAAUUGAUUCCUUCGGGAUGAUUUUGAUAGAGGAAAGCGGCGGACGGGUGAGUAACGCGUGAGUAACCUGCCUUAUGGAGGGGGACAACAGUUGGAAACGACUGCUAAUACCGCAUAAUAUGUUUUUACCGCAUGAUAGAAACAUCAAAGAUUUAUCGCCAUAAGAUGGACUCGCGUCUGAUUAGAUAGUUGGUGGGGUAACGGCCUACCAAGUCAACGAUCAGUAGCCGGUCUGAGAGGAUGAACGGCCACAUUGGGACUGAGAUACGGCCCAGACUCCUACGGGAGGCAGCAGUGGGGAAUAUUGGGCAAUGGGGGAAACCCUGACCCAGCAACGCCGCGUGAAGGAAGAAGGCCCUCGGGUUGUAAACUUCUUUUAGCAGGGACGAAGGACGUGACGGUACCUGCAGAAAAAGCAACGGCUAACUACGUG